Molecule: long non-coding RNA, 3902 nt
Filed under: Homo sapiens (human)
Lineage: Eukaryota; Metazoa; Chordata; Mammalia; Primates; Hominidae
Description: HSALNT0110076
Source: RNAcentral
CUUUUCUUCAGUUCACUGUGGUUGCUUCAAAUGGCUUGAAGCUACUGAGUUAACAAAGUUAGACUUUCCUCAAUUUUUUAAUAUAUUAAAAUAAAAGUCUCCUCCACUAAAACAUUCACUAGAAUUAUCAAAUCUUCACCAGCGAAGUUUAGUCAUUAGAUAGAUGGAUGGGUUUCUACUCCUCCUAUCAUUUUUAAUUGUCAUGGAAUUACAUUUAUCCUCCCUAAACCAGUACAAUGUAUGCUUUUCUUGGUUCAGUUGAAAGGGAUGCAUCCAAGGAAAGAUAAGUUAUUCCUUUAUCACCAAAACAUUUAUUAAAUGUCUAUAUUUUUAGGGGGCAGUGCUGAGUGUUAUAAAUGGGAAUUAAUUAGGCUAAAUUCCUGCCUGUAUCUCUAUUACAACAGAAGAUAGACAACAACGAUGCAGGAAUUUUAAGGCCAUUCAUUCAACAUGCGGGAUGCGUUCAACAUGGGGAUGCAAACAGAUAAGUUUUUACCAUGAACAUUUGCAUCCUUGAGCACAGUAUAUUAGUGUACUGGGUGAAAAGGGUGAUGCACACCAUGUGAUUAAUUGCCACCCACCAAACAUGGUAAGAAAGAUCGCGGCCAAAAUCCUAUGACUUGACAGAGUGCUGUCCAAAUGAAAGCAUGAUAAGAAGGGGUAGGCACAGUGGUUUUUUUUUUUAAUCAUCCAUAUCCAAUCUCAGAAAUUACUAACAGAAAGGGAUUUCCAGCUUGCAUCUGCUUUACACAUUUUAAAAAUCCUUUAUCUGCUGUGGGGAAAAAUGUUAAAUAGGGAAUAAAGUAGUUAUUGACAAACAUCACAGAGAAGCACACGAGAGUAGUGGAUACUUCUCAUACUCAUAGAGAUUUAAGCACAUGCUUAGAGAAUUAUACACAUUUUAUAUAUUACAUAUACUCAUCACACCAACAUACUAUUUACUUUACCUAUACUCCCCAUCUCUACAUGGGAAGAUCUUAUUAAUCUUACCACAUCUCUAUCUCAAACUCAUUCCCUCUUCAUCUUUUUCAGGACAAUCAAAUUAACAUAAGUUGUGAAUCAUUUUGGUCUGGAUAAUUACAAUAACCUCCUAGCCAUUUUUUUUUGAUUUCCCGUUAUUGUAUUUCAUACAGUAUUGCUUCUGAGCAAGAAACUCACUUCAAAACAAAAGAAGUGCAAGAAUGGGCUCAUGCUCAUGGAUUUCACUGAUUUCACCAUGUUCCCCACCAAUCUGAAGCAGCUGGCUUGAUAGAAUGAUGGAAUGUUCUUUUGAAGACUGAAUUACAGCACCAGCUAGCUUUAAUUUCUGUCAGCCUAGAGGUCUUAGUUCCACAGAAACAAAUGCUUCUACCAGGAGACACAACAAUGAUUUCAUUGUGUUGGAUGUUAAGACUGCCACCUGGCCAUUUUGGGUUCCUCAUGCCUUUGAGUCAACAGGCAAGAAGAAAGAUGUGGUGUUGGCUGGGAUUAUUAAUCCUGAUGACGAAGGGGAAAUUGAACUAAUCCUCCUCAAUAAAGGGAGAAACAGAAAUAAUGAAGGAUGAAAAUUUGGAGAGGCACUGUUUUUAGUAAUAGUCUUACAUAUGAGUCACUACUAUGGCAAGAUCAAGACUGGAUCUAGGAGAUCUCGGUUCAAUAUGGAGAUUAUCCAGAGAUUCUACUGUUGGAGCCAGAUGCUAUAACUGAAGAGGGUUAAAACUGUCUCCUUUUGGGACACCGAAACAUAGAAGCCUGCCCGGGAAGAGCAGGGUAGAACUUAUAUUCUCUUUGUUCAGCUUCCCAGAGGAAUAAGAAGGCCAGAGUGAAGCCAGGAUAGGAAGAAACAUGAAGCGAUGAAACAUACUGAACAAUUCCAUGUUUAUGGAAAAAAAUUCUGGUAAUGAACUUACUUCACACCAAAGAGACAAGGAGUAGCAUCAUUACCUCAAGCAAUAUUGCCAGAGAAAAUCUUGACACAGAGAAGACAAGCUCAGUGCUUAAUGUGAAAAUUUAUCUGCACAUACAGAACCAGUCCAUAAUACAGCAUCAUCUCCAUGAGAUCAAAGUGUUCCAAUUAUAUCCUGAGGAGGCUGUUGUUUGAUCUAUUUUUCAACUGUAAGAUGGUCCUUAAUAACAUCAAUAAUAUGUAUUAAUUGGUGGUUCAAUGUUUUUCUCGCAAGAAACCAAGUGAAUAUUAAAAAUAUUCCUAAUUGACAAGGAAGUACAGGAGCUGACUUGCUAGGAUCACAGAACCAACAACAAGAGUGCGUCUGCAUGUCAAGACUCUGACCUACUGUGUGGGACUCUUUUCAUUACUCCAUCCUCAUCCUCCACCAGCCAUAGCCACCGAAGAACACUCACUUAUUUAAGCAAACUCUGUUUUUAGAAUUGAAGAUGAUAAUUAUUUAUUGCUUUUUUCAGAGUUUUUAUUUUUUAACAUUUAUUACAACAAAUUAGAAUAUAAGAUGAUGUGUCACGCCACCUUCCCCCAGAACUGAUUCUGCUUAUUUGACGGUUUGGAUAGAGGGCGGCUUUCCCUAUUGCAUGCUUUCUCAUACUGCAUCUUUAGACAAAGGUGACCAUCCCAUAGAGAUAGCGAUGCAGAUCUUGCUAGAGCUUCUAAACAACUAAAUAACCAACUGAUGAUCAAACAUUCAUCCAUCCCUUUAUAAGUUCAUUUAUUUAAUAAAUAUUCACCUUAUUGAAUUAGUGGGAAGAUAAUGAUGAAUAAGCUAUAGUAUAGUGGAUGCAGUAGAGAAGGAACUUUAUAAAUCCACAGAAAUAUAUACUUGAUCUUUGGGGUGAACUAUUGGGUAUCAUAAAAGCACUUAGUGUGCACCAGUCUGUGUUCUAAAUAGUUCACAUUUAGGAACUCAAUUAAUAUUCAUUUAUAUCUGAGAGAGAACUAUUAUUUACCCCAACCUACAGAUAAUAUAAUGGACACCCAAAUGAAUUAAGUAACUUUCUCAAGGUGGAUAUAGAGUAACUAAAUUAAGGCUUGAAAUUCCGCUGUCUGACUAAAUUCCUCCAUGCAGCCAAAGUACCUUGUGUGUGCUAUUUUGUCAUUCUCAAGAUUCUACAAUAUACAUGGUCAUUUGUGUGCAUGUUUCAUUUUUUUUUUUUUUGCUAGAUUCUUUACCCUCAGAGAGAUAAAUCAUAUUUCAUGUAUUUGGGCCUUACCCAUGGUAUCUAGCAUCAUGUUUUGGAAAUAGUUGCUUUACAAACAAAUUAAAAUCAUUGUUCUUUAUAAACUCGUAACUAAAUAAAAAGUAGCAAUAAUAUUAAACAUAAGGAAUGAGACAAGCACAAUGAGCAAAGAUAGCAAAAUGUAGGCUCUUGUAGUAAUGAAGGAAGAUCUCAACACUCAAAGAAUAAUCCUGCUCUAUUGUUAAAUCAAAUAGGAUGUCUAAUUAGCUAAGCAAGGAUUUUUCUUUCUUUUUUCCUCCCCCAGAAACCCAUUCAAUUUUUAAAAUAUUCAAAAUUCCUAAAUGAAACAAUUUUAAUCAUCUAUCUGUAAGUUGGUAGCACUAUAGGAAAUUGACAGCCUGGCAUCAGAGUUAAACACCUUUUUAAUUCUUUUUGCUUCUAAUUUGUAUCAUUAGUGCAUCUUAGUCUGUCAAAGUAAUCAAAGCCAUCAGUGUGGGAGAAAAGGUGACUUGUGCGUACGAGUAUCAUGUAUUUAUUAAUAUGAUUAUUUUAGUCAAUUAGUUGAAAAGAACUUAUUUGUAAUGACUACAGUCACUGACCAUGUUUAUAUUAGCAUACUUCCACUAUGGUGAAGGUCCUGUCUACGAGUAAGAAAGCUAUAGCUAGCAUCAAGAAAUGUUAAAACAGCUCUGUAUUCAUGCAGUAUGAGGACACACAUGUGUGUCCUCUGUGUAAGGAAAAGCAGGGUAGUAAAGUCAAAUCAAAAUAUUUGGGAU